This 253-nucleotide ribosomal RNA is filed under the name uncultured bacterium. Its description in RNAcentral is "partial 16S ribosomal RNA". It matches the Rfam family "Bacterial small subunit ribosomal RNA", at positions 524 to 776 of the family's 1533-position model. The record is from RNAcentral.
UACGUAGGUGGCAAGCGUUGUCCGGAUUUACUGGGCGUAAAGGGCGUGCAGGCGGUCUGUUAAGUGCAGGGUGAAAGCUCCCGGCUCAACUGGGAGAGGUCCUUGCAUACUGGCGGACUUGAGGGGGGUAGAGGAAAGUGGAAUUCCCGGUGUAGUGGUGAUAUGCGUAGAUAUCGGGAGGAACACCUGUGGCGAAGGCGGCUUUCUGGGCCCUACCUGACGCUGAGGAGCGAAAGCAUGGGGAGCGAACAGG